Molecule: transfer RNA, 75 nt
Filed under: Paracoccaceae bacterium
Lineage: Bacteria; Pseudomonadati; Pseudomonadota; Alphaproteobacteria; Rhodobacterales; Paracoccaceae
Description: Rhodobacteraceae bacterium tRNA-Pro
Rfam family: tRNA
About the family: Transfer RNA (tRNA) molecules are approximately 80 nucleotides in length.
Source: RNAcentral
CAGAGAAUAGUUAAAGUGGUAGAAUUUAUCGUUUGGGACGAUAAGGUGUUGGUUCAAAUCCAGCUUCUCUGACUA